CACGUAGGAGGCGAGCGUUGUCCGGAAUCAUUGGGCGUAAAGAGCGCGCAGGCGGCUUGGCAAGUCGGGUGUGAAAUCCCGGGGCUCAACCCCGGGACUGCAUUCGAUACUGUCAGGCUAGAGGUAGGUAGGGGAGAUCGGAAUUCCUGGUGUAGCGGUGAAAUGCGCAGAUAUCAGGAGGAACACCGGUGGCGAAGGCGGAUCUCUGGGCCUUACCUGACGCUCAGGCGCGAAAGUGUGGGGAGCGAACAGG
RNAcentral lists this ribosomal RNA (253 nucleotides) under uncultured bacterium. RNAcentral's name for it is "partial 16S ribosomal RNA". It matches the Rfam family "Bacterial small subunit ribosomal RNA", at positions 524 to 776 of the family's 1533-position model. The record is from RNAcentral.